This is an RNA transcript of Leptopilina heterotoma, 3669 nucleotides long. RefSeq lists it as uncharacterized. Lineage: Eukaryota; Metazoa; Arthropoda; Insecta; Hymenoptera; Figitidae. The record is from RefSeq and is a predicted model, not a curated record. The transcript is spliced from 11 exons.
GAAUCGAUGACUGCCCCUGGCAUCACUGUUGUGUACGUGCGUGCAUGCGAUCUGCGCUGUAACUGCAAAAUAACCCUUGCAAUCAACAGGUAAAACAUUGCUUCAUCAUUCUUUUCCUGUUAUUUCAAGUUUUCAAGUUUUAAAUUAUCGCGAAUUUCGAAAAUGUGCAUUGCCGAUGUGUUAAUAGUGUCCAGUUAAAGAUUUGAUAAACAAUAGCCUCAAGUCCUUGUUUAGUGCAAGGUAAGGAGCGUUCGAAGUGAAAUUCCUUGCAUUCCAAAGUUGCGGUUCAACCGUCCAGGUCGACCAGCACAGCAUCCAGGUUAAGAAUGUCACUUUUGUGAUCGCUCGCCAAUGACAUGCGAAGAAUGCAAAAAUGCUUCAUUGUCAGCCCAUAAAGUAGAAAGAAACUGCUGGGAAUCCAAAUGGACGACGGAAGCCCAUUAUGGCCCAGCAUCGGCAGCAAAACCGCCAAUACGAAUUUUUGCCAUUAUGCGACGUCUUGUUCAACAUAAUUUCAUUAGCUUCAUACUUUUGCGAUGUCGUGUUCGAUCUUGCUAUGGGAUAUGCUCUCGCUCAUCAUCCUUCAGCACCAGCAGCACUCUUUCCAUUAAGCAUCUCCCUCGUUGUGACCUCCCUUUUACUAUCACAGGUGAUCAGUAUACGAUGGUACCUCUGGGGUGCAAGAGGUAAAUUAAAUAACAACGUGACAACUCCUAACUGUGAUUUAAAUAAUGAAAAGAAGACUGGUAAUUGGACAAUGGGGUGGGUCUUGCUACUUCACUCAACACAAGCUGGUGUUCUCUGGCGUUACUUUAAGCUGUUUAUUCCUGUUGAUUUAAGCCAUGUUAAACAUGAGGUGAGAGAAUUGUGUGUUUUACGUUUGAUACACGCAUUUUGCGAAGCAGCUCCAAUGUUACUAUUGCAAUCAUACUUACUGUCAGUUGGAAUCGAGAGAGAAAUCGAGCUCGAUCAUGGAAUUGGCAAAAUCGAGACGGCAAGAGAUGAUGCAAAAUUGGAAAAACUCACAACCGUUUCGGCAGGAUUGUCACUGUGGAGUGUGUGCUGGGCAGUCGCAAGUUUCAGUAAAGGAGCAGCACGCUUGAGAAAUUUAGAGCGUUUGGUGCUUACAUGGCUUGGUGUAUUGGCCCAAUUAUUCUGGCGAUUGGGAACUGUGAGUGCACGAGUUGGUGCUUUAAUAGCAUACGCCUCUCUGUAUGGUGGUCAGUGGCUUAUAAUUGUAAUGGCCCUCCACUGGCUUUCAAUGUUGACUUGGCUAAUGCUCACGCCUGAUGGACUUUUUCAUAGUGGCGAGCGCCUUCCAAUUUUUCGUAAAACAUUUUUAGCCUCACUUCUUGCAUUCGUUUACAUAUUUGUUUAUGUAAAUCUACAUGAAAUCAAUCAUCGUCAGAAAAUGGUUAUUUUCUACACUGUGAUGUUCCUUGAGAAUAGUUUACUCAUUGGCGUUUGGGCAGUCGGUGUCAACAGAACUGAUAUUCAUCUUGAUCACCGUCCUCGUCCAACUGUACUUAUUCUCACCCUGUUGGCUCUAUUUUUUGGAGGUAUAUGCUUCAUGGGUCUCUAUUACAGAUUUUUUCACGUAAGACGUUUGAGAUACGAAGCGGGUGGAAGAAUGAAUAGCACAAAUAUUGUAACAACAUUAAAUAAUCAGAAUAUUUCUGAUGCAAAACAUAUGAAUUAUAUUGAUGAUAAAAAAAUGAACAUCAAUAAUGGUAUACGAGGAGUGAAAUGUAGCAAUGGUGGAAUUCCGGGAGUAUUUAAUUGCCGUUUUGCAAAUCCCACUGUGACAAAUGCAAAUCGAAAAAAGAAGAAACCAACUUCGUUUGUUCCUCCUCCAUCGCAACAUCAACAGAACAAUUUGCCUUUAGCAUCAGGAGGUGAAAAUAAACAAUGGAUAAAUAGCAAUGGAAGUGCACGACAAUUAAUUCCAUUUUGGAAAAGACCUCUUUCACGCUCCAGCAUGGUUCACGACGAAGAUUCAUCUGGAGAAAGACAUGAAGCGGAUGUUGGUAUAAGUGGUUCGCUAAGCGUGAAUUUAAUUCAUGAAAAAUUGCGAGAAAAGAAGCAGCAGCAACUUCGUGAAUUAAGGGCUAUUCAGGAAGAAAUCAAACAGGGAAAAUUGGUUCCGCCUCCUUCAGCUUCAACAUCUUCUUUCUCAUCGUCGCCAUCAGCAUCGAAUCAACAACCGCCACCAAAUACAAAGUUACACACAUCUCCCAGUUCUCCAUUGAUGACGUCAGUGCCGACAUUGUCCGAUCAAAAUGUCAUGUCUUCCUGGCCUCCAAUUAAAAUGCAUUGUCUCCUACCUCCACCUCCGUCAUCGCCUUAUCAUCCUACUUCAUAUUCCUCGACUCACUGGAAAGAACCGCAAAAGGACAGAGCAGAAACUCCCGAGAUCCUUUUAGCACCACGUUGUCUUCCUCAUCAUUAUACCCACUGGACAUCGUCAGGAAAUUCUACGCACAGGUUGCACAAUGGACACGACGAGGACGACGAUGAUGAUCAAAGUUCUAAAGCAGAAGGAGACAGAGAUGGCGAAGUCAGUGAUAUGGAAGGUAGCCAAGUUUCAUUGCCUAGAAGUUAUACGUUACCUCGAGAAUUUAAGUACAAUAAUUCCAAUCAUGUCAUGAAAGGACGUCGAGGAUGUACUAAAAUGCUCUCCUCACGUUUUUAUUUACCAUCGACGAAUAGUUCAGAUGGUGAUGUAGAUAGCGCAGACAACGAAAAUGAAACAGAUUCUGAUAUUCACAAACGAACACAAAAUGUUCAGAAUCAUAUUGAAAAAGUGCCGUCCAACCAGUUUUCAUUUCAGAAUAAUAAAACGACAAAUAUGGUGAAUUCAAAUCCUGAAAGUUCAUCAGGUUCUUAUACGAAUAUGUACAAUAUUCAACGAGCAAAUCAAUCGCAUAGAACAAAAAUAAAACACGAAACGAAGCUAUAAUUAUUUUUUACAGUUUAUAAAUAUAUAAAAAUAUAUAUUUAUGUAUGAAUUGAAGCAUUGGGUGCAUAAAGGGCGUUACACGGAUAACGCUAAUUUUGAAAUUGUUGAGUGAGAAUGAUUACAAUAUCCUCUAGUUUAUAUUAAUAAAAGUUCACAUCGAUCUAAGGCUUUUUUGUGAUGAUAAUAAUAAAUAUCUGGGUGUAUUCCACAGGAUUUCGUUGUUUUAAAUAUUUGCUAAUAAAAUUUCAAGUAAAAGUAAAAACUUAUUUUUGUUGUUAAUCGGCGUUAAAAAAAAAUUCACCAAAAAUAGUGCAUUGUGUCCCAAGAAGGCAAAACAAGUCUUUUAACGCCGAGCGAAAUUUUGCGAUACAAGGGGAGAUGAAGCCAACGAAUUAAAGAUGAGUAUCGCAAAAUGUUGGCCUCCGAGGUGCACAUUGUGCUUUAUGUAACAAAAGCAUGAUUAUAAGUAUUUUUUUCUAUUUCAGAAUUCAUUUUAAUGUUAUUAAUUAAAUUUAAGCUGUACAGGCGACGACCACACGACGACUUGUCAAAUAUUAUAAUUUUUUAAGUUAAUUUAAAAAGCAAGUCGAACAGGUUCCUUAAAUGACACAGAGGUGGCAGCACUUUACUAAUUAAUGCAAUGGGGGAAUAGCAGAAAUCUUGCCACACUCAUAAACAUUGACAUAUGUAAAUAAAUAGUUUUAAUAAAA